This 465-nucleotide long non-coding RNA is filed under the name Capsicum annuum. Its description in RNAcentral is "long non-coding RNA (CANN_LNC015795)". Lineage: Eukaryota; Viridiplantae; Streptophyta; Magnoliopsida; Solanales; Solanaceae. The record is from RNAcentral.
CUUGAGUUUUGAAUUGACUCUAUAAAUCCACAUCUUGAAGAAAUCUUCAUUUGGAUUGGUUACCAUGACAUACGGUGAGAGCUUAUGGGAUGCAUUUAGAUGGAACCUACCCAGAAGAUAUGGAAAUUACUAGUCAAAUACAAAGCAAGGAAAUGGUUGCAAAUUUCAGUUACUUCACAUCUUCACAAAGCUAUUGGUUUACUGAAUCAGAGAUUUACCUGGAAGUGACGGUCGACGAUGGAGAUCGGCAUCUAUGGAAGCUUUAACUCAGCUGAACCAAUCUUUCCUUUUCUGUCCAUUAGGUUUCCUUUGACUUUACUUUACUUUUCUUUCUUUUUUUUGUCUUAGUUUUAGUUUAUUUGGAAUGGAUCGAGUCUACUUUGGACUUUGCAUUUUGCUUAAUUUUGUACAGAUCUAUUUUAAUUAAAUGAGGCUCACGGGUCUCACCAAAAAGUUGAAUAAAAG